GACGAACGCUGGCGGCGUGCUUAACACAUGCAAGUCGAACGAUGAAACCUAGCUUGCUAGGUCGAUUAGUGGCGAACGGGUGAGUAACACGUGACUAACCUGCCCCUUUCUCUGGGAUAACGCCCCGAAAGGAGUGCUAAUACCGGAUACUCACACCGAGGCACAUGCCUUGGCGUGGAAGUCUUCUCGGAAACGGAUGGAUUCGCGGCCUAUCAGAUUGUUGGUGAGGUAACGGCCCACCAAGGCGACGACGGGUAGCCGGCCGGAGAGGGCGACCGGCCACACUGGGACUGAGACACGGCCCAGGCUACUACGGGAGGCAGCAGGGGGGAAUAUUGCACAAUGGGCGCAAGGCUGAUGCAGCGACGACGCGUGAGGGAUGAAGGUCUUCGGAUUGUAAACCUCUUUCAGUAGGGACGAAGCGAAAGUGACGGUACCUAAAGAAGAAGCACCGGCUAACUACGUGCCAGCCGCCGCUGUAA
This 482-nucleotide ribosomal RNA is filed under the name uncultured bacterium. RNAcentral's name for it is "partial 16S ribosomal RNA". It matches the Rfam family "Bacterial small subunit ribosomal RNA", at positions 28 to 523 of the family's 1533-position model. The record is from RNAcentral.